CUACGGGCCGCAGCAGUGGGGAAUAUUGGACAAUGGGGGAAACCCUGAUCCAGCAAUGCCGCGUGUGUGAAGAAGGCCUGCGGGUUGUAAAGCACUUUCGGUUGGGAGGACUGCUUCUAGCACUAAUAUUGUUGGAAGUUGACGUUACCUUCAGAAGAAGCACCGGCUAACUCCGUGCCAGCAGCCGCGGUAAUACGGAGGGUGCAAGCGUUAAUCGGAAUUACGGGGCGUAAAGCGCGCGUAGGCGGCUAGAUCAGUCGGGUGUGAAAGCCCCGGGCUUAACCUGGGAACUGCAUCCGAUACUGUCUAGCUUGAGUACAGGAGAGGAGAGUGGAAUUCCACAUGUAGCGGUGAAAUGCGUAGAUAUGUGGAGGAACACCAAUGGCGAAGGCAGCUCUCUGGCCUGAUACUGACGCCGAGGUGCGAAAGCGUGGGGAGCAAACAGGAUUAGAUACCCGAGUAGUC
Molecule: ribosomal RNA, 465 nt
Filed under: uncultured bacterium
Lineage: Bacteria
Description: partial 16S ribosomal RNA
Rfam family: Bacterial small subunit ribosomal RNA
Source: RNAcentral